Molecule: transfer RNA, 73 nt
Filed under: Nematocida displodere
Lineage: Eukaryota; Fungi; Microsporidia
Rfam family: tRNA
About the family: Transfer RNA (tRNA) molecules are approximately 80 nucleotides in length.
Source: Rfam by way of RNAcentral
GCCUCGUUAGCUCAGUCGGUAGAGCAUUAGGCUUUUAACCUAAGGGUCCGGGGUUCGAGCCCCUGACGAGGCG